GGGGGUGAAAUUGGUUUCGACGGUGUCGAAGUGACAGUAAACUGCGUAUCGUGCUUCCGAAGUGCACGUUAAAAAGUCGGGAAAAAAUAGUAGACAACUAUAAUUACGCUUUAGCUGCCUAAUUUUACGCAGCUACGUUUCAUAAUUUUCUCGUCUGUCAGAAUUUUAUGAAACGACGUAUACGGCAGACUCGUCUCGAACUUCAUCUGUGAGGGAGAGAUUAAAUUUUAACAGAUUAGUUUAAGAAAAUCCUUUCUGUUGGAGCUUCUUAGGUGAAUCAAAAAAGCAGAAUACGUAUGUAGACGUUUAUUGGAGCUCUUCAUCGGACCGGGGUUCGACUCCCCGCACCUCCACAA
RNAcentral lists this transfer-messenger RNA (356 nucleotides) under Ignavibacteria. RNAcentral's name for it is "JAHJVF01 sp016873845 Standard tmRNA". It matches the Rfam family "transfer-messenger RNA". From Rfam's summary of the family: Bacterial tmRNA, also known as 10Sa RNA or SsrA, is named for its dual tRNA and mRNA-like properties. Its role is to liberate the mRNA from a stalled ribosome. To accomplish this part of the tmRNA is used as a reading frame that ends in a translation stop signal. Lineage: Bacteria; Pseudomonadati; Ignavibacteriota. The record is from RNAcentral. RNAcentral also lists the same sequence under 1 other name.